GUCUUGUUUAUAAACAGAUGGCAGACUGGCAGUCCUACCUGUAUAUCUGAAGUUCUGGAAUUACACAUGUGUCCCCCACACUCAACUAACAACUAACUCAACUAACAACUUUGUUUUGGUUUCUGUCUAUUUUUAUAGCUUUUUUUUAUUAGAUAUUUUCUUUAUAUACAUUUCAAAUGCGAUCACGAAAGUUCCCUAUACCCUCCCUCCGCCCUGUUCCUCUAUCCACCCACUCCCGCUUCUUGGCCCUGGCAUUUUCCUGUACUGGGGCAUAUAAAGUUUGCAAUACCAAGGGGCCUCUCUUCCCGGGCCAUCUUCUGCUACAUAUGCAGCUAGAGACACGAGCUCUGGGGGGUCUUGGUUAAUUCAUAUUGUUGUUCCACCUAUAGGGUUGCAGACCCCUUCAACUCUUUGAGUGCUCUCUCUAGCUUCUCCAUUGGGGGCCCUGUGUUCCAUCCUAUAGAUGACUGUGAGCAUCCACUUCUGUAUUUGCCAGGCGCUGGCAUAGCCUCAUACAAGACAGCUAUACCAGGGUCCCUUCAGCAAAAUCUUUCUGGCAUGUGCAAUAGUGUCUGGGUUUGGUGGCUGAUUAUGGGAUGGAUCCCCAGGUGGGGUAGUCUAUAGCUAUUUUUAAGUUGAUUCCUACUCUGUAGCUCUAUAUAGCUUAGGUCUUACUAUAGUCUAGGCCAGCCUAAAGCUUUGUCAUCCGCCUACUUCCUACCCCACUUGAAGGGCUGGGAUUAAAGGCAUGCAUUAACAUGCGUGGCAACUUUUUUUCCUCUUUAGUGCUCUCCCAGGUGAUUGUUUAGUGUGUCCAGUGAGCUGUAUAUCUGGCCCCAAGACACAGUCUUGAUAAUUGAAUUAGACCCCAUACAUGUAGUGGGAGGCAGGAAGGAGGAAGAGAGGAAACCUUCCUCUUUUGCAGAGAUUUUACAGAAAGCAAGUGGGCGUGGACUCAGGUUUUCCUACAGUGUUUAUUUAGCUCACUGAACUGUGUGUUUUUAGCACCUGUGCCCCAGCUCCCACCGACUGCUUAGCCUUUGCACUAAGUUGGGUUUUCACUGCUAUCAGAAAAACAAACAAAAAAGAAGCAACUUUGGGAUUUGUUUUAUUUUAGCAGUUGUUUAAGUCUUGCCAGUAUGAUUCAAUAUGAGUAGUAAACGUACAGAAACUAGAAAAGCCAUUAUAAUAUACUGUCUGGAAGCUGCUAGUGAAACUAGCCCCACUCCUCGCCUUUUGUUGGUUUGUAUAUUUAAGCACUAGUCAUACUUUUCUAGAUUGUUAUUUUCAGGCUUCCUUUGUUUUUGUUUUUGUUGUUGUUUUUGAGGCAGGAUCUUGCUCUAUAUCCCUGGCUACCCUCAAACUCAACUUUGGAGACCAGGCUAUCUGAAGCUUCCAGUGAGCCUGCCCACGUCUCCUGAGUGUGCUUAGGUUAGGUUAUAGGUCUGCAUUUUCCAUUGAAAUGCUUCUUCUGCCUUGUACUUAACUCUUUUUAUUAAAAAUAUUUCCUAGUUAACUUCACAAAUUGGUUAUUUUUUCUGCCAGGUGUCGUUUGAAUCUAAAAUACAACUUAGAAGCAAACAAGAAUUGCAGUUUUUUGAUGAUGACGAAGAAGCUGGGGAGAGCCAUACAAUCUUCAUUGGCCCUGUAGAAAAGUGAGCAAAUGCUUUUUAUGUUUUCAGUGCUUAAAAAUGUCUGUUUCUGUGCUAAGUAAUGUUUUCUUUUUCUUUUAUUAUAGAUUGAUAGUAUACCCACCACCUCCAGCUAAGGGAGGCAUUUCUGUUACUAAUGAGGACCUGCACUGUCUAAGUGAAGGAGAGUUUUUAAAUGAUGUUAUUAUCGACUUUUAUUUGAAGUAAGUUAACUGACUUAUUAGCAAACCUGACAUUCUGCCAUUGCAUGUCUUUUUAAAUCUUUGCUUUCUAAAAUCAGACUUUUAAUUAGAAAUUUUUGUCACUGCCAUAUAGUGUGUCAUGUGAGAAGAGUAAUCUUCUAGUCAAGUUUCUUUCUCUAAUUUUGUUUCGUCAUUUUUAAAAAUGAGAAUAAGCUCUUCCAGAGGUCCUGAGUUCAAUUCCCAGCAACCACAUGAUGGCUCACAACCAUUUUUAAUGAGAUGUGAUCUCUUCUUCUGGUGUGUCUGAAGUUAGCGAUCGUGUACUCACACACACAAGUAAAUCUUUUCCAAUGAGAAUAAAGGGUUAUGAGAGUUGAAUGAGGUACUACAUGUGAGACAGUAAGGAAGUGCCAGCACAGUUUUCAUAAACACCAACUUAGUAUGUGUUUACUGUCUGUGUAGUGAAAGGGCACAUACAUGAAACAAAAUAAAACUCAGCCUCCUUAUAUCCAGGCUGAUGGUUUCUAGUUCCUAGAUAUUUCAGCAUCUCUUAACUCAAAGCAUGUUUUGAAACCUGAAAAUUUGAUUUAAUAGCCCAGUAGUGGAAUUCACUUCACACUUUGAGGGAAAAGACAUUUAACUUCUGCUCCAGGGAUCUGAUAUCCUCUUCUGGCUUCCAGUGCCACCAGCACUCAGAUGCACACAAAACAUAAAGUAUGAGAAAUGUAUUUCUAAUGUUGUUUUGGAUAGCAUUGUAGCUCAGCUUGGCUUGGAUAGGAAUAUUUAGCAAGCAUGUGUGAAAUCCCUGCAGCUUUUAUGCCUAAUUUUUCUAUAAAAUUAUUAGAAAAGAUUGUUAAAAGUCUCUAGCUUGCUGUUUUUUCUUCCUCUUAUUUAUUUAAGAUUUAUGUGUUUAUUUUAUGUAUAUGAGUACUCUGUCUCUGUCUUCAGACACACUAGAAGAGGGCGUCAGAUCCCAUUACAGAUGGUUGUGAGCCACCAUGUGGUUGCUGGGAUUUGAACUCGGGACUUCUGGAAGAGCCGUCAGUGCUCUUAACCACGGAGCCAUCUCUCCAGCCCCCUAGCUUGCUGUUUUUAAAGCCACCUGUAUAAGUUCUAUUGGUAGGAAAAUGUGCUUUUAUUACCUUGGUGAGCUAACCCUUUAUCAUUAUGUGAUGCCCUUCCUUAUCCCUGACCUUCCUCUUCCUGAGGCUGCUUUGUUGACAGUGUUGAUGUUUCUUUUCACUUUCAUGGCAGGCACUUCAUCCUUUUAUUUUUAACCCUUUACGUCAUAUUUUGGAGUUACUGCUGCUGCUGCUCCCGCUUCUUUGGGACAGAAUCUCACAUAUACUGUGCUGGCCUUAGUCUAGCUUCCAAUUAAAUUUUAUAUAAUAAACCUCUGAUUUAAAACAUGCAGUUAAUAAAGGAAAUCUAGGAAAAUGCAUCAUACUUUUAAAUUUUUAUUUGUAUUCAUAUUUUGAGAAGUGAAAUAAAAGGAUUGUUUUUCUCAUUGUUCUGUGAGAGUUUUUGUUUGUUUUAAGAUUUAAUUUUGUUUUUAUUUGUGUGUGUAGGCAGAUAUGUGCACAGGUACCUACUCCUAGAGCUGGAGUUACAGGGCUUGUGAACCCCCCAAGUAGUUGGUGGGAACUGAACUGGGGUCCUUUGAUGGAAGAGCGGGAAGCACCUUUAAUUGCAACCCCUUGUUUUACUUGAUGGAGAAAGGAUUUGGGGAGAUGGUUAAGUGGGUAAGGCUACUUGCUCUGUAAGCAAGAGACCUCAGCUUGAAUGCUCAGCUCUUCUGCACAAGGCACAUCUACCUUCAUUGUCUGUGACCUCAGGGUGAGCAAAGACAAACGGACACACCAAUCUGGCUGUCUAGCCAUCAAGGCCAUAAGAGAGUUAUAGGGGAAGAUUAAUGUCUUUUAAAACCACAGACUUGGGGACUGAAAAGAUGGCUUAGCAGUUCAGAGCACGUGCUAUUUUUGCAGAAGACCCAGGUUCACUUUGUUGUUGUUGUUGUUGUUGUUGUUGUUGUUGUUGUUGUUGUUUUUUCAAGACAGGGUUUCUCUGUGUAGCCCUGGCUGUCCUGGAACUCACUUUGUAGACCAGACUGGCCGCAAACUCAGAAAUCCGCCUGCCUCUGCCUCCGCCUCCCGAGUGCUGGGAUUAAAGGCGUGGAUCACCACACCUGGCUCCAGGUUCACUUUCUAGCACCCACGUGGUGGCUUACAACUGUCUCUGACUCUAGUUCAAGGGGAUCCAGCACCCUCUUCUGGUCUCCUGGGACCCUAGGCACACACAUAGCACACAAAUAGGCAAGAUACACACAUAUAUAAAGUAAAAAUAAAUCUUUAAAAAAUAUGGAUAUGGCUAUAUAUAAAAAGCAUGGAAUUUUUGUUUGGCUUUUCGUUAUUUGGUGGCAGGGGUUUUGUGGGGACAUCUUUCUUCUACUGUGUCAGUUUUGGGCAUCACACUCAGGUUGUCAGGCUCCAUCCAUGCCUUUUUAUUUGCUGAGCCAUGUUGAUAGCCCAGAACAGGUGGGUUUGCGCAUGCUUGCUUGUGGGUUUUCUCGUAUUUUGGAGACAGGGAGGACCUUGCUGUGUCUGCCAAGCUGGUCUCAUUCACAGCAAUCCUCCUGUUUCUGCUCUUCCAAAUGUUGGGAUUUUAAGUAGGGACUAUCUGGCACCUGGCUAGGCAGCUUUCUUAACUCACAAAUACCUUAUCCUCACCCCUUUUGAGUUGUACCUUUAUUUAUUUAAUUCAAAUUUUUGAGUUUUUAAAAAUCUCACUCUGUAGUGUAGCCUGCCUGGCAUUGAACUUGGACUAUAGCCUAAACAAACCCAGAAAUUUCUAUUUUCCUAUCUGCUCUCGAGCAUGAAAAAAAUGUAGUCAGGAAUAACAAUGCCCAACUAAGUUGAAGUUUUCAAAAGUAGCUUUUGGCCAGCAAGAGCAGUAUGGAUUUUCUUUUAGGUAUAGCUCCAAUCUUCUAACUAGCUUACUAUGUGUUCUGUUAGGAAUAUUAUUGCAGAAAUCAAUAACUGAUUCAAACCGUGUGUUGAGGGGAUUAUCUUUUAUAAUGCCUUUUGUAGGGCCCCUGAGCUGCCUCCGUAUAAGAAUUCUUUCUGGUUGUAUCCUUUUUAUUGAAGCUCAAGCUUUGGGCCAGAGAGAGAGCUCAGUAGGUGAUGGUGCUUGGCAUGUCCCAUGCCAGCCUGCUGCCCAGAAGCCACAGUGGGAAGAAAGUACUGACUCAGCGAAGUUGUCUCUACUUAUAUGUUUUGGCAUGCAUGUUGCUCCUUCCCAGACGACACAUCAUCAUCAUCAUCAUAAACAACAAUAAUAUCUUUUUUAAAACUUGAGAUUCAAAAUUAUCAAAUGGUAUAAAGUAAAAGGCCUUUGAGGAGAACAGACGUCUAAGUACUUUGUAUUUCUGUGUAAGAUUUCACAAGACUUUCAUACUAUCUUACCAAGAGAAUAUGGCCAUAAACCUGAUUCACCUAACUUCUGUGACAAGUUUGAAACAUAAACAAUUAAAUUUAUUAAAUUAUAAUUUCCCUUGCAAUAUAAGUGAUCAUGGAUGUUUGUUUAUAUAAGUCUCCAGCACAAUAGCAAGAAAAACAAGAAUGUUUUAAAAAAAGAUUUAUUCACUUUACAACCCAAUAUCAGCCGUACCUUUCUUCCUGGUACCCCUCAUGCAAGUCUUCUCCCCAUUCCACUCCCCCUUUCCUUCUGAGAAGGGGAAGCCCCUCUCACGGUGGAUUCUUAAGUUUUUAUUUCAUGCGUGUGAGUGUUGGCUGGCAUGUUUGUAGCGUGUGUGCACACUGGAAGCUAGAGUUACACAUGGCUGUGUGCACACGUGACCUGACUGCUGAGCCCUCUCUUCAGCUCUGGGACUAGCUUCUUAUUCUGCAUAAUAUUUUUAAAAUUCUUCUUCCUUGUCCUGUUUAUGGCAGCCAUUCCUUCUGAGUAUCAUAUUGUAUAUAUUUUAUUUUUCCAUUCAUUAGUAAAUUAGCAUUUCUGCUAAUUUUUUUACAGUUUUGAAUAAUGCUUCUGUGAAUCUUUCUAGAAAAUAUUUCUGUAUUUUCUGGGUUAGAGUUUGUUUUUAAAAUAUAUCUUUCAAGUCAUAGUUUUAAUUCU
Molecule: long non-coding RNA, 5965 nt
Filed under: Mus musculus (house mouse)
Lineage: Eukaryota; Metazoa; Chordata; Mammalia; Rodentia; Muridae
Description: long non-coding RNA chr9:80124597-80130562
Source: RNAcentral